AAAUUGAAGAGUUUGAUCAUGGCUCAGAUUGAACGCUGGCGGCAGGCCUAACACAUGCAAGUCGAACGGUAACAGRAARCAGCUUGCUGCUUUGCUGACGAGUGGCAGACGGGUGAGUAAUGUCUGGGAAACUGCCUGAUGGAGGGGGAUAACUACUGGAAACGGUAGCUAAUACCGCAUAACGUCGCAAGACCAAAGAGGGGGACCUUCGGGCCUCUUGCCAUCGGAUGUGCCCAGAUGGGAUUAGCUUGUUGGUGGGGUAACGGCUCACCAAGGCGACGAUCCC
This 286-nucleotide ribosomal RNA is filed under the name Escherichia coli. Its description in RNAcentral is "partial 16S ribosomal RNA". The record is from RNAcentral. Lineage: Bacteria; Pseudomonadati; Pseudomonadota; Gammaproteobacteria; Enterobacterales; Enterobacteriaceae.